UUCCCCACAGUCUCUAUUUCAUGCUGUUAUAGGUUACAAGCCUAAAAAUGGUGUGUUUACCCUUAUAGAACUCUGAAAUUAAUGUCUCAACACGAGAAACCAUGACCAGAAGGCAUGUUAAUAUAGAAAUAAGAGCUUAUGAACCUUUUAUUCAGAGAAAUAACAUUCUAUAAAUUAGCCUACAGAAUAUUAAACUCAUCUUCCUGCAUGAAUAACAUAUUUGGUAUUCAACUACUCUUUCAAUUUUUACAUAGCUAUGACAUUAUCUUGGUGUGUUAUUGGAAAAGCAUGUCGAUGACUUUGUUGAUUCUGGGAACAACUAAUAUUUUUGUCAUGGAACAACUAAUAUACGCUUUACAUUCAGAUUUUUUUAGUCAUCGUCUUAUGAUAUGUAUGACAAAGGAAAACUGAUAAUUUAUAGUUUAAUCAAUAAGCAAGAUUUCUUAGUGGCAAAUAUUUUAUGCAGAAAAUUUUCUCUAUCACGGUGGGAAGUAAACAAUCGCAUGGACCUCAAAUAUUUACUAAUCGCUCUCUUCUUUGGAAUGAAUGAAUACCAGUAUCAUUCUCACAUCUAAGGAUAUGAGGCGAUAGUCAAAUGAAAGCAGCUGAGGCUCGGAAAGGAGUUGCAACACUAGGCACAGCACCACAACUGAUCAAAUCUCUACGCCAUAUCAAAACUACGAUCCACUUAUGCCGUUGGAAAGAGAAUUCUGGAAAUACAAUAUAUACAAAACUUAGGUCCAAAUCCUUUGUAGAUUUAUCUCCUUUCUUCCGGUAAUAUCAAUCUUUCUUCAUAUGGAAUGUUUUGUAGUUGUUAUGUAUUCACUGUGAUUGAACUAUAUUUUAUACUUUAGCUGUAUCACAAUGGUUCACAUAUCAGGGUCUUUUAAUUACUUUCAUCAACACUUUUGGCCAUCGUUG
Long non-coding RNA from Nicotiana attenuata, 921 nucleotides. RefSeq lists it as uncharacterized. Lineage: Eukaryota; Viridiplantae; Streptophyta; Magnoliopsida; Solanales; Solanaceae. The record is from RefSeq and is a predicted model, not a curated record. The transcript has 3 exons.